CGAACGCUGGCGGCGUGCUUAACACAUGCAAGUCGAACGAUGAAGCUCCUGCUUGCAGGAGUGGAUUAGUGGCGAACGGGUGAGUAACACGUGAGUAACCUGCCCCUGACUGUGGGAUAAGCCCGGGAAACUGGGUCUAAUACCGCAUAUGACACUUGGCCGCAUGGCUGGGUGUGGAAAGUUUUUCGGUUGGGGAUGGGCUCGCGGCCUAUCAGCUUGUUGGUGGGGUAAAGGCCUACCAAGGCGACGACGGGUAGCCGGCCUGAGAGGGCGACCGGCCACACUGGGACUGAGACACGGCCCAGACUCCUACGGGAGGCAGCAGUGGGGAAUAUUGCACAAUGGGGGAAACCCUGAUGCAGCGACGCCGCGUGAGGGAUGACGGCCUUCGGGUUGUAAACCUCUUUCAGUAGGGAAGAAGCCUUUCGGGGUGACGGUACCUGCAGAAGAAGUACCGGCAAUUAUU
This 466-nucleotide ribosomal RNA is filed under the name Brevibacterium sp. SSCA13. Its description in RNAcentral is "bacterial SSU rRNA". It matches the Rfam family "Bacterial small subunit ribosomal RNA", at positions 30 to 504 of the family's 1533-position model. The record is from RNAcentral. Lineage: Bacteria; Bacillati; Actinomycetota; Actinomycetes; Micrococcales; Brevibacteriaceae.